UACGUAGGGGGCGAGCGUUGUCCGGAUUUAUUGGGCGUAAAGGGCGUGUAGGCGGCUUUUUGAGUCGGGGGUGAAAAUCCAGGGCUCAACCCUGGGACUGCCUCCGAAACUGGGAAGCUUGAGUGCUCUAGAGGGUAGUGGAAUUCCCGGUGUAGCAGUGAAAUGCGUAGAGAUCGGGAGGAACACCAGUGGCGAAGGCGACUGCCUGGGGAGUAACUGACGCUGAGGCGCGAAAGCUGGGGGAGCAAACGGG
This 253-nucleotide ribosomal RNA is filed under the name uncultured bacterium. Its description in RNAcentral is "partial 16S ribosomal RNA". It matches the Rfam family "Bacterial small subunit ribosomal RNA", at positions 524 to 776 of the family's 1533-position model. The record is from RNAcentral.